Molecule: long non-coding RNA, 5951 nt
Filed under: Triticum aestivum (bread wheat)
Lineage: Eukaryota; Viridiplantae; Streptophyta; Magnoliopsida; Poales; Poaceae
Description: long non-coding RNA (TAES_LNC026496)
Source: RNAcentral
UUUUUUUUAUUUUCUGUUUUUUGCACAGGUUACAAAAUGUAUAAUUGGACAAAAUAUAGACAGCACACAUCAACAACAUAUUCAUCGAAUACAAUAGAAGAUUAGUCUCUGAAUACAAUUCAUCAUUUUAGUCUCUGAAUACAAUUCAUCGUAUUAGUCUCCGAAUUGAAAAGACCAAACAAAGAUAGAACAUUAUAUUACAAGUCUCGAGACCGCGAGUUUGUCUUCACAUUACAAGUCGAUAUCGAUCAUCUAAACUACCAUCACAUAGAAGAGAGCUGCGGUCAUCACGAUGAGCAUCAUCACGAUGAAACUCGUCUUCAUCCGGUUCCUCCAACGCUCCCUCCCCUCUCCCGCUAGAUAGCGGGCGUAUCUAGAUUCGGCCUCGGCCCUAGUGGCGUACCCUUUGUAACUGUUACCGCUAAAUCGGUGAACCUGUCUCCGACACUCCUCCCAGUCGUCGUAGACUCCGGGAACCUUACCCUUGUACACGACAUACCACGGCAUCGCUAUGCAGUAGCCAAACGAAACGUUAGUACCAAUUCACAGACAAUACAUAAGCAAUAUAUAAGUAUGCAACAGAACGAUCGAAAGAGAAAAGCAAGACAUUAAUAGCAUCGAUUACAUCUAAGUUGAACGACUCUCGAAACCAAAGAGACAUACUACAAGUUCAUUAAAGUUUAAUUACAACAUGAGCCAAUCGAUGUUUCAGAACUAGACACAGCAUCACUGCUUUCGACUCGACUCAAGGGACCGGAGCGUGGAUGAAGCCGCCGUCUAUCGUGGGAGUCAUGAAACAACCGGCGUUGUCAGCCUGCAUUUGUAGGAUUGUGUCGAUGUCACUAUUGGACGGUUGAUUUCUGAGGUAGAACUGCCCCGAGGUACGAAGGACAUCUUGAUGGAUGAUUUCCGCAAACUCCGACUGGAUGCGAAAGAAUUCUUGUCUGAUGUCCGCGUCCUGGAUUGUCGACACGCUCGCGGCCCAAUCUUUGAGUCUACUCGGUAGCAGAAGUUGAUGAUGGUCCCGUAUGAUCGCCUGCAUGUGAUGGAUGGCGUAGUAGGCACCCUUCUGACCGCCAAGCGGCUGCUUGACGCAGCAGAAUGUCGUAUUGUGGGAGAACACGUGCUUGCCGUACUUACGAAUAGGCCUGGUGAAGGUGCCUCCAGAUUUGACGUAGCCGGGGAGAACAUCAUCAAGAACCUUCUUGACAUUUGUGUAGUCUACGUUCGACUGACGCUCCGGGUCGAAAUACGUGGCCAUGGAAUAUUUGGGGCUUAGGAGGAUGAGCGUGCAAUGUGUGUCACUGCAAAAAACACGGAAUGUUAAAAGAAAAACGAUCGAAAUCUAAGAAUUCAUAUGUUACGGGGCGGUUGAGGGGUGGACUUACUCGGGAAAGUAAGGCACGAGGAAGUUAUCCUUAUCUUGGUUUGCCAGAAUGAUGCCUUCGAGGUAAGAACUCGCGACUUGCUGGUCCCCAGCGCUGCCCAAGAUGUUGGCACGCAUGUAGAAGGGGUCGACUAUCACGAUGUUCGGGGUCUUGUCGCGAAUGAUACGCAUCUCCAUACUCAGCGAAAAUAGCCGAACGAAGGUGUAGUGCAGCGGAUGAAGGUUCAACAUAGCGUGGAUGUCAUCAAACCGCAGGACGAUCGUACCCUCGAUGGAGUUAUCCACAAAGCCCUUGCCCUCUGGCACCUUGGCCGCGAAAACCGGGUAUGCCACAUCCUUCUCUCCGAGACGCCGCUUCUCCAAAGAAAGAACACUGUCAAGCAGACUCCGCAUAGCACCGGUUGCAGCAUCGAGCAUUUUUCUCGGUAGCAUCGGCCUACCCGCCACAUGCACCCUCCUCGAGAUAUCCUCAGGUGAAGGUGGCCCGUCCUGAGCACGGAUCGUACUCGGUGCCGGCUGGCCCGCACCCUUGUUAGUCUUUCUUUUGCGUGCCUUCUUCUGCUCCUGUAAUGGGACCGAGUUCUGCUCACAGACCGCCUUCUUGAGUGUGUUGGGGCUGAUCAUAUUUCGCACCUCGCCUAUCUGAGGCUCGGUGAAGUCGGUAGCUGGAGGCGUCUCCUCAGAGCUGAACUGCAGACGACGCCUGUUGCAACUUGGCUUCUCUGUGGUACCAGCUAGAUCGCGCACGUCUUUUGUUGGGUUGGGUUCUUGAGAAGGAUGCCCCAUGAAGACGCCACCGUACCCAUGAUCGGCAAACUACUGAUCAAUGUUGGCAAAUGUAUCGCCGUCGUCGUCGUUCUGAUCCUGUGCCAUAUGCAUGUUUGGAUCCAGUGGCAUAGGGAUGUUCGGCACCGUUGCGGCGGUCUUGCCAUGGGGCCGACUUGGCGCCGGCACGACUGGCGGUGUUGUCUUUGGGGUGGUGUCCCCCGCCCCCAAACGAAUCUGGCUCUUCGGGCAAAGCAGGGGCCAGCUCAGGUAGGCGCUGAGGGUCAUCACGUCAUCAUCGUCGGCCCCGACGGGUCGAAUCGGAGGUAACAACUCAUCGCAGCCUGGCAGCACCCAAACCAGUUGAACCCUAAACAAGUUGGGUGGCAUCUGGGUACCGUGGAACAAGGGGUUGCCCGGUUGAACGAUUUUGCCCUUGGCGACAUCGACCAACUCGUUGUUCACGAAGUGCAGGAGAGUGCACGGAACGUCGGCGGCACCCUGCGAAAACAUGUAGGGCGUCAGGGAUGCCCAGUCAAAGGCAAGGAGAUGAAGUCCUCGGCCGAGAGAGGCUUAAUUAGUUACCGUGAUGAUGGCAUCGAGCUCGGCUAAUGUCGAGGCACCACCAAUGGCGGGCGUGCAGUUGACGAAGGGGCCGCUUGCUGCAGAGGUGUCGGCCGACGUACACCCGGGUGCAUUAAGCUCCCGUGCCGGCGUCGGAGACACCAAUGCCGCCUCCGCCGGAGACACCAAUGGCCCCGCCAUCGCGUUCUGCGAGUUGCUGGCCGUGAAGCUAGGAAUCGGGGGCGGCCCCUGUUUGCCUCCCGCAAUCCACGCACUAAUCCCCUGGAUCAAGGUAGGCACAAUGGCGGUGAUCGUCGCUCCGAGUUGUUGUUGCACUUGCUCUUGGACAAUCUCUGGAAUCCGCGCCACCUGUGCCCUGAGUUCUUGAACCUCACGCGCCUGGCUUUCCAAGCUGGUCUUUUUCUCCUUUCGCCCACCAGUGUUAUAGUAUGACGACCAUUUUGUCGACAAGCCUUUGCCGGCCACACGACUAGCUGAUGUCGGCUUACUGAGCUUAUCCUUGUUCUUCAUUACAUUCAAUGCCCUAUUUAGAGUGGUGUCCCAAGGGUUGCUCUUAGUCGACCCCGCGCUACUGCUUUCAGUCGCCUGCGGAAGGAAUGUGAACCAUUUAGAAAUUUGGCUUCAUUAAUUAGAAUGCAACCAUAUGGAGCUAAUUACGCGGGGGUGUAUUCCUUACCAGAAGAAGCUCAAGCGCCCUGGUCUUCGGAUCCGUGGUAAGCUCCUUUGUUUUCGGGUCCUUCUUGUACCGGGCCCUGACAAAGUUCCUGGUUUGCUUGUCACCGUAUUUAUCGAAGAGGGGCGGUAGGCCUUGCUCGGCACGGUCCGCCUCCUCCUUGUCCCAUAUAGGCUCCGCCACUCUGUAACCGCCGGGAUCGAGUGUGUGUUCCCCUAAGUUCUGCUCCCGCAUUUCUUUCCCCCACUUACUUGAUUUGGAGUUUGCGUGCUCGAGCAAUUGAUCUUGAAGUCGUUGUAGUCAUCUUCGGUAAUCGAAGGAUUUUUCUCCUUGAUCUUCUCAUAACUCUCACCUUUCUCGAUCAUUCUCUUCACAUUGCUUUUCCAAGUAGACAGGGCCUUGCUCAUCUUCGUGAGGGCAGCAUUGUUCACUUUAUUCCCUUUGAGGCUUGUGUUUUCAAAUUCAGCGGGGAACUUGUAUCGUUCAUGCAGCUUCGUGAAGAGGAGGUUGCGCAAAUUCCCUCGGUUAGGAUGCCUCAGGUUCUCGGUGUUGAUCGAGACGGUGCUCCGAAGAAUGCACCCGAGCUGAAGCGAGUACCCCUUGACUAUUUGUUCGGGCGCCGUUGGAUUCCCGUCGGAGUCCACUUCAGUAACUUCCUCCUUGAGGGUGCGGAGCACGGUCGGGCGCCGGUCCUUCCGUUGCCUCUUCGGUUGGCUGCCAUCUGUGCGUGCGCCGCCAUCAUCAGUGGUGGCAUCCUCGGCGGCACCAUCAGUGGUGGCAUCAGUGGGGUCAUCCUCGGUGGUACCAUCAGUGGUCUCAGGAUCGGUGGGGAAGGCGGCGUCCUCAUACAAGUGAGGUUGUUCCUCCAUCUCCUGGGGCAGCUCCCAGAAUUUCUUGCCGCCCGAACCCCCGGCCUCAUCAUUGUUGGCCAUGUUUCUCUAUAAAUAGGAACAAAGUUUGGUCAAAAAGUUGGUUAUUGUCAAGGAACAAGAUCAUGGUCUCAUCAUUUAGGGUUUGUCGACACCGAGGCAUCCUAAAAGCUAAGCUUUUAUCAUUGAGGGUUUUUCGACGCCGAGGCACCCUAAAAGCCUAAGCUUUCAUCAUUUCGGUUUUUAUCGACACCGAGGCACCCUAAAAGCCAUGCAUUAGUCACAAGUACGCCGGGGCACUUGAUCCUACUUAAUUAACUACUAAGAUACCCCGGCCCAUGCAUUAGUCACAAGUACCCCAUAUGUCCUAUUUUUAGCAAAGUCAUGCUAAAAUUCACGGAAAAUUUCAGCAUGACCUUUGCUGAAAAUAGGACAUAUGGAGUACCCGAAUUUUGCCGGAACGGAAGUUAAUCGACAUUCCAGCAAACUCAAGGGCCUCUCGGGUGGACAAGGCAAAAAAGGCCUCCAUCACAACAUGGAAAAUACAUUGGCAUGUGAAAAAAGGCCUCCCUUGCUUAGGAUGCACUGCCACUGAAGCAUGUGAAAAAAGGCCUCCAUUUCGUGAUUUACUUCAUGAGUUAGACCAGAGAUAUGUUUUUCUUCUUCUAUAAACUUGGUCAAACUUUACAGAAUCUGACUUAGAACAAAGCUAACACGUCUUGAUUUCAGACAUGAGGAACUAGAUGAUCGGGUUCACAGAAAUGAAACAGGUAGACAACGCCAUCAUUUACGGCAAACAUCACUUACACAGAAAUGAACAUGAUAAUUACUUGCACAGAAAUGAACAUGAUAAUUUUCUGGACAUAAUGUCAAGGCUCUGCUCUUGCUCAGGCUGCAGGAAAUCCCCAGUCUAGAUGCUACAGUUGAUUUGAUGUAUUGAAAAGAUAUGAACAUCUAAAAUACCUAAAUAAAUACUCCCUCGGUAAACUAAUAUAGGACGUUUUAGAGACUUGUGUAGGGAGUACAUACACUAGGGAAACACGGUUGAAGAUUUAUCAGCUGAUGUUAAUUUGGUAUGGUAUUUUCUCGCUAAACUUUGGUCAGAGUUCACAAGGUUUGGCUCAGAAGUCAGAACAAAACUGACAUGUCAUGGAACGGACGGAGUAGAUAGUUACAUUCACAAAAAUGAACCUAGUAAACAAAUCAUUUACGGUGAACAACGCCCCCCUCUUCACAAACUAGACAAAAAAGACAUCAGUUUGAGCAUGGCUACAAACUUGCAGCAGCAACAUAGAAACCCGGCGGCCAGCUGUCGACUCACUUUGCGCUACAGAUAUAUAGCUAAAAUUUAUCCACAACAAAUAAAAAACAAAAUGGAGACCAACAUGCCACAUGACAACGCACGACCGAAAUAAUGAGGGAAAAGGCUAGAUGCAUAUCCAUCUAGGGUUGCUGCAGGUAUAGCAAACUAGCCAUAUCAUAUUUGUCGCAGAUUUAAUCAAAUGCAUUAUUAUUUAGUUCUCUUCACAUGAAGAGGAUGACCAAAGCCUAUCAGGAUACAAAACUAGGAGGAUCACCAUCUAGAAUUUUUUUUGAAACCGUAGAAACCAAUGAAUCUCUGCAUAUUAGAAGAAAAACGAGCCUCUUCUGAAGAUAGACAUAACAGGGGAAC